CACGUAGGGGGCAAGCGUUGUCCGGAUUCAUUGGGCGUAAAGAGCUCGUAGGCGGUUCGAUAAGUCGGGUGUGAAACCUCCAGGCUCAACCUGGAGACGCCACCCGAUACUGUCGUGACUAGAGUCCAGUAGGGGAGCGUGGAAUUCCUGGUGUAGCGGUGAAAUGCGCAGAUAUCAGGAGGAACACCAGCGGCGAAGGCGGCGCUCUGGGCCGGAACUGACGCUGAGGAGCGAAAGCGUGGGGAGCAAACAGG
RNAcentral lists this ribosomal RNA (254 nucleotides) under uncultured bacterium. Its description in RNAcentral is "partial 16S ribosomal RNA". It matches the Rfam family "Bacterial small subunit ribosomal RNA", at positions 524 to 776 of the family's 1533-position model. The record is from RNAcentral.